UUUGGAGCGUGUAUAUGAAACUGUGAAUCAGCGUUUGAAUAGUUGAUCACAAUUCUCAUCUCACAAAUCCAUAGUUUUGGAACAAAUGAGUUUGGCAAAGGGACAUUUAUGCGGGUGUUACCAAUCACUGUCAACUUAAACUGUACGUCGAUGGUUUUGCUCAAGACGUGAGAAAGGCCACAAGGGUCAAAGUCUUCUCUUUCGGAACGUCCAAUGCCUCCUCCACUGAAGACGUCAAACACUAUGAAAUUUUGCUUCUUCUCUCGCACCAUCUACCACCACUACCAUUAGUUUUUGCAACAUGUCUACGCCGGCAGAAUACUAUCGUUCUUUACCACCGGUGAGCAAGACCUAUGGGGUGGCUUGUUUGAUGACCACAGCUGCCUACUAUCUGCAUCUUUACAACGUCGGGAAUAUAGCACUCUUUUAUGAGGAUGUAAUUAAACGUUUCCAGGUAUGGAGGCUGAUUACCAAUUUCUUUUUUCUGGGGCCAUUUUCAUUUCCUUUUGCAUUUCGUCUUAUAAUGAUGUGAGUAAUUCAUCUCAUAUAUUACAAUUAUAGUUAAUAUGUGAUUUAGCUCUGCAGUUCAGCCAAUCUGCUUCUUUUAGCAAAUAGUUUUGUUUCUAUGUUUCUUAACUUAAAUUUCAUAGAGCAAGGUAUGGGGUUUCUUUGGAAAGAGGACCUUUUGACAAGAGGACUGCAGACUUUGUGUGGAUGUUCUUCUUUGGAGCACUUUCACUUCUUGUAAGUUGGAAUAAUUAUGAUUCAGAUCGUACCAAAAAUAUAAAAUGGUAUAAUUGAGAAUUUGUCAUGAGUUCAUACAAGCCUUCAGAUGCAAACUCUUAUAUUGCCGUUGUUUGUUUAGUACUAAACUACAUAGAAAUCGGACAAUGAUAAAGUGCUACUGUUCGAUCAUAGGUGAUGGCAGCUGUUCCAAUGCUCUGGUCUCCUUUCAUGGGAGUUUCCUUGGUUUUUAUGAUCGUCUAUGUCUGGGCACGUGAAUUCCCAAAUGCACGUAUCAACAUAUAUGGACUUGUGUCGUUGAAGGGAUUCUAUCUUCCAUGGGCAAUGCUAGCCCUGGAUCUGAUUUUCGGGAAUCCAUUGAUGCCAGAUAUUCUGGGGAUGGUUGCUGGACAUCUAUAUUAUUUCCUGACAGUGCUUCAUCCUCUUUCUGGUGGAAAUUUCGUCCUGAGGACUCCUCUCUGGGUUCACAAACUGGUUGCAUUUUGGGGUGAAGGGACACAAGUAAAUGCCCCAGUGCAGCGUGAUCCCUCCGCAGGAGUUGCUUUCCGAGGAAGAAGCUACCGUCUCAAUGGUACCAGAACCAGGCCUUCAGAAGACUCUCAGGGAACCACUCCAGCACAGCAGCCAAAUAAUUCCGCUGGUGGAGUGGCUUUUCAGGGAAGAAGUUAUCGUCUUGGUGUCCGUUAGGUACCUUACUGUUGUAACCAGUGCUUUCUGCAUCAAAUUAUAGGUGCAAAUUAAUGUAUUACUGCAUUUAGAACCAUAAUAGCAACCAAGCCUACAAGGUGACAAAUGCUACCCAAUCAGAUUUUCAUAUUGUUAAAGGAUUGCAAGGAUGGACCGUUCCCGGUAUCAUAUUUAAGCAACCAAGGUAAUUCAGUUGUAUGUUUGCAAUGUAGACCCUGUGUUUGAGCUCUAAAAGGCAGAUG
This 1673-nucleotide unclassified non-coding RNA is filed under the name Hevea brasiliensis (rubber tree). The record is from RNAcentral. Lineage: Eukaryota; Viridiplantae; Streptophyta; Magnoliopsida; Malpighiales; Euphorbiaceae.